AACGCUAGCUACAGGCUUAACACAUGCAAGUCGAGGGGCAGCAUUUCAGUUUGCUUGCAAACUGGAGAUGGCGACCGGCGCACGGGUGAGUAACACGUAUCCAACCUGCCGAUAACUCGGGGAUAGCCUUUCGAAAGAAAGAUUAAUACCCGAUGGUAUAAUCAGACCGCAUGGUCUUGUUAUUAAAGAAUUUCGGUUAUCGAUGGGGAUGCGUUCCAUUAGGCAGUUGGUGAGGUAACGGCUCACCAAACCUUCGAUGGAUAGGGGUUCUGAGAGGAAGGUCCCCCACAUUGGAACUGAGACACGGUCCAAACUCCUACGGGAGGCAGCAGUGAGGAAUAUUGGUCAAUGGGCGCAGGCCUGAACCAGCCAAGUAGCGUGAAGGAUGACUGCCCUAUGGGUUGUAAACUUCUUUUAUAUGGGAAUAAAGUUUUCCACGUGUGGAAUUUUGUAUGUACCAUAUGAAUAAGGAUCGGCUAACUCCGUGCCAGCAGCCGCGGUAAUACGGAGGAUCCGAGCGUUAUCCGGAUUUAUUGGGUUUAAAGGGAGCGUAGGUGGACAGUUAAGUCAGUUGUGAAAGUUUGCGGCUCAACCGUAAAAUUGCAGUUGAUACUGGCUGUCUUGAGUACAGUAGAGGUGGGCGGAAUUCGUGGUGUAGCGGUGAAAUGCUUAGAUAUCACGAAGAACUCCGAUUGCGAAGGCAGCUCACUGGACUGCAACUGACACUGAUGCUCGAAAGUGUGGGUAUCAAACAGGAUUAGAUACCCUGGUAGUCCACACAGUAAACGAUGAAUACUCGCUGUUUGCGAUAUACAGUAAGCGGCCAAGCGAAAGCAUUAAGUAUUCCACCUGGGGAGUACGCCGGCAACGGUGAAACUCAAAGGAAUUGACGGGGGCCCGCACAAGCGGAGGAACAUGUGGUUUAAUUCGAUGAUACGCGAGGAACCUUACCCGGGCUUAAAUUGCAUUUGAAUAUAUUGGAAACAGUAUAGCCGUAAGGCAAAUGUGAAGGUGCUGCAUGGUUGUCGUCAGCUCGUGCCGUGAGGUGUCGGCUUAAGUGCCAUAACGAGCGCAACCCUUAUCUUUAGUUACUAACAGGUCAUGCUGAGGACUCUAGAGAGACUGCCGUCGUAAGAUGUGAGGAAGGUGGGGAUGACGUCAAAUCAGCACGGCCCUUACGUCCGGGGCUACACACGUGUUACAAUGGGGGGUACAGAAGGCAGCUACCUGGUGACAGGAUGCUAAUCCCAAAAGCCUCUCUCAGUUCGGAUCGAAGUCUGCAACCCGACUUCGUGAAGCUGGAUUCGCUAGUAAUCGCGCAUCAGCCAUGGCGCGGUGAAUACGUUCCCGGGCCUUGUACACACCGCCCGUCAAGCCAUGAAAGCCGGGGGUACCUGAAGUACGUAACCGCAAGGAGCGUCCUAGGGUAAAACUGGUAAUU
RNAcentral lists this ribosomal RNA (1441 nucleotides) under uncultured organism. RNAcentral's name for it is "SSU rRNA". It matches the Rfam family "Bacterial small subunit ribosomal RNA". The record is from RNAcentral.